RNAcentral lists this ribosomal RNA (491 nucleotides) under uncultured bacterium. RNAcentral describes it as "bacterial SSU rRNA". It matches the Rfam family "Bacterial small subunit ribosomal RNA", at positions 1 to 507 of the family's 1533-position model. The record is from RNAcentral.
UACGACGAGUUUGAUCCUGGCUCAGGACGAACGCUGGCGGCGCGCCUAACACAUGCAAGUCGAACGAGCGAGAGAGAGCUUGCUUUCUCAAGCGAGUGGCGAACGGGUGAGUAACGCGUGAGGAACCUGCCUCAAAGAGGGGGACAACAGUUGGAAACGACUGCUAAUACCGCAUAAGCCCACAGGUCGGCAUCGACCAGAGGGAAAAGGAGCAAUCCGCUUUGAGAUGGCCUCGCGUCCGAUUAGCUAGUUGGUGAGGUAAUGGCCCACCAAGGCAACGAUCGGUAGCCGGACUGAGAGGUUGAACGGCCACAUUGGGACUGAGACACGGCCCAGACUCCUACGGGAGGCAGCAGUGGGGAAUAUUGCACAAUGGGGGAAACCCUGAUGCAGCGACGCCGCGUGGAGGAAGAAGGUCUUCGGAUUGUAAACUCCUGUUGUUGAGGAAGAUAAUGACGGUACUCAACAAGGAAGUGACGGCUAACUACGUG